AUCCAACUGACGAGUUACAAAUAGGACGAAACGCUCGUCCUGAAU
Molecule: non-coding RNA, 45 nt
Filed under: Schistosoma margrebowiei
Lineage: Eukaryota; Metazoa; Platyhelminthes; Trematoda; Strigeidida; Schistosomatidae
Source: RNAcentral